ACGCACGCUGGCGGCAUGCCUAACACCUGCCAGUCGAACGAGACCUUCGGGUCUAGUGGCGCACGGGUGCGUCACGCGUGGGGACCUGCCCUUAGGUUCGGAAUAACUCCCCGAAAGGGGUGCUAAUACCGGAUAAUGUCUUCGGACCAAAGAUUUAUCGCCUUUGGAUGGGCCCGCGUUGGAUUAGCUAGUUGGUAGGGUAAAAGCCUACCAAGGCGACGAUCCAUAGCUGGUCUGAGAGGAUGAUCAGCCACACUGGGACUGAGACACGGCCCAGACUCCUACGGGAGGCAGCAGUGGGGAAUACUGGACAAUGGGCGAAAGCCUGAUCCAGCAAUGCCGCGUGAGUGAUGAAGGCCUUAGGGUUGUAAAGCUCUUUUACCCGGGAUGAUAAUGACAGUACCGGGAGAAUAAGCUCCGGCUAACUCCGUG
RNAcentral lists this ribosomal RNA (432 nucleotides) under uncultured bacterium. RNAcentral describes it as "partial 16S ribosomal RNA". It matches the Rfam family "Bacterial small subunit ribosomal RNA", at positions 29 to 507 of the family's 1533-position model. The record is from RNAcentral.